AUGAUGAAGUGGUUUGACAUUGAAGGGGUUAUUGAGCAGGAGGUUCUACAGGCUGUAAAACCUAGGAUCACUUUGGGGAUGAACAAAUUCCUAAUGGCGCCGUUCUCAAUGGAGGACAUGCGGAAAGCAUUGUUUCAAAUUGGAGACAUGAAGGCCCCUGGCCCGGACAGGCUUCAUGCAGUUUUCUUCAAGAGAUUUUGGCACAUACUUGGUGAGGAGCUAACUAAUGAAGUGCUCACAGCAAUCAACAAAAAGAAGAUGCCAAAAUGGUUGGAACCAAACAAAUAUUGUUCUAAUGCCAAAGGUGGAGAAUGUGGAGAUUGA
Molecule: ribosomal RNA, 324 nt
Filed under: Triticum aestivum (bread wheat)
Lineage: Eukaryota; Viridiplantae; Streptophyta; Magnoliopsida; Poales; Poaceae
Description: partial small subunit ribosomal RNA
Source: RNAcentral